AGUGUCGAAUAGUGCGCGUCUGUUCAGUUAUAGAUAGUUAUCAGUGUUAUAAUAAUUGAAGGUUAGACGACCAAUUAUUGAUUAUUAUAGUUAUCUUUGAUGAAGACAUUCAAAAGCCAAUUGGGUUUUUAGCAACAAUUUAUGCGAGAUUUCCGAAACAGUUGAAGUAAAGGGACAAGCGGAUCUUCAUCCUGUCUUAUCAGCGCUGAAGGGACUAUCUGUCGAUGUGCAGGAAAUUUUAGCAAAUCAGAGGUCCAUUUUACUUCAUUUAGGACAAAGAGAAACAGCUACAAAAAAGUUAUUUACUGAAAAGUACAAACUAGAAAUACCAUUUCAGAGUACUGAACAAUUUGGUGAAUUUAACGAAAAAUUAAAAAUUGAUGAUGGGUGUCGGACAGAAUUUUCUUCUUUGAAUUACCUUUUUGAUCAAGAGUUAAAUGCAUCAAAAACUUUAACAAAUGUUUUUUAAAAAUAUCUCAGCCAAAAUGUGAUACUUAAAUUUACGACAAAGAAAAACAUUCCUGGCAAACGGAUUAUGAAGAGAAUUUAUUUUUAUGAGUGUAUCUCAGACUUACGGACGUCCUGGUGAAAAGCCAUUAACUGGGGAUAACAUUUGAAGUUUAAUUAGCAAAGUUUUUAAUAAUGCUAAGGACCUGGACGGUGAGAGGUAGAAAACAGCUGCUUUGCAAAUCAGACUGAGCGAUAAAGCAGUUCGGGGUAAGGCCGAGGAAUUUCAAGAUCCACAGGAACAUCUAGAUCCAGAGGACCCUCUUCAAGAUCGAAAGAAGGAACCAAACAGCGAAGAUGAAAAUGAGAAGAUCACCUGUAAAUUAGCCAAGCACGAUAGAACAAAGUUUGAAAUGGAAAUAUAAAUGAGGGGUCUACACGAAUAAUGAUUUUAACAGUUUUGAUGAUUUAAAGAUUUGGAUACACCAAAUCAAACCAAUCUUCGACCGACAAUGCAAAUAAAUU
This is a long non-coding RNA of Belonocnema kinseyi, 972 nucleotides long. RefSeq lists it as uncharacterized. Lineage: Eukaryota; Metazoa; Arthropoda; Insecta; Hymenoptera; Cynipidae. The transcript is spliced from 6 exons. The record is from RefSeq and is a predicted model, not a curated record.